This is a long non-coding RNA of Panthera uncia (snow leopard), 404 nucleotides long. RefSeq lists it as uncharacterized. NCBI's taxonomy places the organism in Eukaryota, Metazoa, Chordata, Mammalia, Carnivora, Felidae. The transcript is spliced from 3 exons. The record is from RefSeq and is a predicted model, not a curated record.
CAUCCUCUGUCUUGACGUGAUCUCACUCGUCAGUUCACCGAGUAGAUAUCGGCUUGUUGGGAUGCCUCUCAACAGAGGAGCCCCCAGCAUGGACCAGAACAUUCCAGAAGCGGUCCGAGCAGUGCAGUGAGAGUCUGGGUGACUGAAUCUGAGAAAGUCACGGCCGGAUUUCCUGUUUAGCUUUCUGAAAGCCUCUUCCCAGCCUCGAGAGACCACCUGCUCCAGGAAGCCUGCCCUGAUUCCUUCCUCAGAGUUCCCCCUGGACUUCACGUGGGCUCCUCCUGGGGCACAGGUCACUAUUUGUUGUAUGUUAUCACUAGGUCCUUUUUAUACAUGAACUAUGGAAGCAGUAUGAUGAAACCAGAAGAACAACUACAAAUUUAGACAUCUUUACGAUGUUGUCU